CUACGGGAUGCACCAGUGAGGAAUAUUGCACAAUGGGGGGAAUCCUGAUGCAGCAACGCCGCGUGGAGGAUGACGCAUUUCGGUGUGUAAACUCCUUUUAUAUGUCAAGAAAAUGACGGUAGCAUAUGAAUAAGCACCGGCUAACUCCGUGCCAGCAGCCGCGGUAAUACGGAGGGUGCAAGCGUUACUCGGAAUCACUGGGCGUAAAGGACGCGUAGGCGGGCUUGUAAGUCAGGUGUGAAAUCCUACAGCUUAACUGUAGAACUGCACUUGAAACUACGAGCCUAGAGUAUGGGAGGGGCAGAUGGAAUUAGUGGUGUAGGGGUAAAAUCCGUAGAUAUCACUAGGAAUACCUAAAGCGAAGGCGAUCUGCUGGAACAUAACUGACGCUAAGGCGUGAAAGCGUGGGGAGCAAACAGGAUUAGAUACCCGCGUAGUC
This 439-nucleotide ribosomal RNA is filed under the name uncultured bacterium. Its description in RNAcentral is "partial 16S ribosomal RNA". It matches the Rfam family "Bacterial small subunit ribosomal RNA", at positions 339 to 795 of the family's 1533-position model. The record is from RNAcentral.